RNAcentral lists this ribosomal RNA (460 nucleotides) under uncultured bacterium. Its description in RNAcentral is "partial 16S ribosomal RNA". It matches the Rfam family "Bacterial small subunit ribosomal RNA", at positions 338 to 795 of the family's 1533-position model. The record is from RNAcentral.
CCUACGGGUGGCAGCAGUGAGGAAUAUUGGUCAAUGGACGAGAGUCUGAACCAGCCAAGUCGCGUGAAGGAUGACUGCCCUAUGGUUUGUAAACUUUUUUUAUAUGGGGAUAAAAGGUUACACGUGUGGGCUUUUGUAUGUACCAUAUGAAUAAGGAUCGGCUAACUCCGUGCCAGCAGCCGCGGUAAUACGGAGGGUCGGAGCGUUAUGUGGAUUUAUUGGGCUUAAAGGGAGCGUAGGUGGAUUGUUAAGUCAGAUGUGAAAGUUUGCGGCUCAACCGUAAAAUUGCAGUUGAAACUGGCAGUCUUGAGUACAGUAGAGGUGGGUGGAAUUCGUGGUGUAGCGGUGAAAUGCGUAGAUAUCACGAGGAACUCCGAUUGCGAAGGCAGCUCACUGGACUGAAACUGACACUGAGGCGCGAAAGUGUGGGUAGCAAACAGGAUUAGAUACCCCAGUAGUC